CCCUUAGAUGUUCUGGGCUGCACGCGCGCUACACUGAUGCGCUCAACAAGUUUAUGACCUUGCCCGGAAGGGUUGGGUAAUCUUCUUAGCACGCAUCGUGAUGGGGAUAGAUUAUUGCAAUUAUUAAUCUUCAACGAGGAAUUCCUAGUAAGCGCGAGUCAUCAGCUCGUGCUGAUUACGUCCCUGCCCUUUGUACACACCGCCCGUCGCUACUACCGAUUGAACGGUUUAGUGAGGGCCUCGGAUUGGUCUCGGCCCGCUCUUUACCGGGCGGCGCCGUUGGUCGAGAAGACGCUCGAACUUGAUCGUUUAGAGGAAGUAAAAGUCGUAACA
RNAcentral lists this ribosomal RNA (333 nucleotides) under uncultured eukaryote. RNAcentral's name for it is "partial 18S ribosomal RNA". It matches the Rfam family "Eukaryotic small subunit ribosomal RNA", at positions 1470 to 1796 of the family's 1831-position model. The record is from RNAcentral.